Molecule: long non-coding RNA, 771 nt
Organism: Sciurus carolinensis (gray squirrel)
Lineage: Eukaryota; Metazoa; Chordata; Mammalia; Rodentia; Sciuridae
Exons: 4
Source: RefSeq, a predicted model, not a curated record
GGCGCAUUCAGCACGCCCUUUGGCUCUCUGCCAGUCACCAUCUUGGAUGCAUGUGGAGUAACCCUGGGCCCGGGUCUCGCGCGCCACAGUCCUGUGUCCACGCUUCCCCUUGGCCGUUCCUCCCUGGAACACUCUGCCGUUUUGGACCUGCAUACCAAAGGCCAGGAAGGAGAUCAGCAGGCGCCUGACACACACCCAACUCCUCAGGAUGCCUGUGCUGCCUGGGAUGCUCAUUUAUGGAACUUUGCUUCUGUGUGCAGCUGUUACAAUCUGUAUCACCAUGAGUUCUUCCACUAAGGUGAACGUGAUUGUCGUAAAUAAGUUUUCAAGAGACCUGCCCUCAUUCAAGGCUCCUAUAGUUAGAGGCAAAAAGUGAGAUCCAGUGUGCAGAUCAGCAAAAUGAAAGAUUCUAGAAGAAUCUUUCACUGCAACAAAAAGAAGACCUCCCCCUUCUCUGCUCUACAACCCAGGUCCUUCUUUUCCUGAUAAUCUAAGGGCAAAGUCCGUCCCUGCUCACCUCCGCACUCCAUGCUUCACUUCAGCCCCACGAAUCCUGCUGUCCUUCUGUUGAAUGGAGAGGAGUUUUUCAUGUAUGUCAGCACUGAGUCCCUCCCUGGGGUGAGCCCUGUGUGUUUGUGGAUGAGCGUCUUUGCACAGGCUUUGUGCACAAGUCCACCUGCACUUCUCUGCCUGUGGGCUUGUGGGUGGGGGGAAUAUCGAGGCAGCAUCUUCUUCUUUCCAUCACCCCUUCAUUAAUAAAUGUGGAUUAAG